GAUGAACGCUGGCGGCGUGCCUAAUACAUGCCAGUCGAGCGAACAGACGAGGAGCUUGCUCCUCUGACGUUAGCGGCGGACGGGUGAGUAACACGUGGAUAACCUACCUAUAAGACUGGGAUAACUUCGGGAAACCGGAGCUAAUACCGGAUAAUAUAUUGAACCGCAUGGUUCAAUAGUGAAAGACGGUUUUGCUGUCACUUAUAGAUGGAUCCGCGCCGCAUUAGCUAGUUGGUAAGGUAACGGCUUACCAAGGCAACGAUGCGUAGCCGACCUGAGAGGGUGAUCGGCCACACUGGAACUGAGACACGGUCCAGACUCCUACGGGAGGCAGCAGUAGGGAAUCUUCCGCAAUGGGCGAAAGCCUGACGGAGCAACGCCGCGUGAGUGAUGAAGGUCUUCGGAUCGUAAAACUCUGUUAUUAGGGAAGAUCAAAUGUGUAAGUAACUAUGCACGUCUUGACGGUACCUAAUCAGAAAGCCACGGCUAACUACGUG
RNAcentral lists this ribosomal RNA (497 nucleotides) under uncultured bacterium. RNAcentral's name for it is "partial 16S ribosomal RNA". It matches the Rfam family "Bacterial small subunit ribosomal RNA", at positions 28 to 507 of the family's 1533-position model. The record is from RNAcentral.